Molecule: small nuclear RNA, 327 nt
Filed under: Neogale vison (American mink)
Lineage: Eukaryota; Metazoa; Chordata; Mammalia; Carnivora; Mustelidae
Description: Neovison vison (American mink) 7SK RNA (ENSNVIG00000004775.1)
Rfam family: 7SK RNA
About the family: 7SK was discovered as an abundant small nuclear RNA in the mid-70s but a possible function has only recently been suggested. Two independent studies have found that 7SK RNA binds the CDK9/cyclin T complex (known as elongation factor P-TEFb).
Source: Rfam by way of RNAcentral
GCAUGUGAGGGUUGUCUGGCUGUGACAUCGGUCACCUCAUUGAUUGUCAGGGUUGAUUUGGACAAUCUGGCUGACUAGGUGGUUGUCCCUCUCUCUCCCUCACUGUUCCAUGCAUCCCUUCUGAAGCUGCACGCUCUGUCAAAGAGGACCACCUUCCUCAGUAGAGGAGGACUAUUCUUUGGUCAAGGCUACAUGAGUAGUUGUGCUGUCUUGCUGGAACUAAAUAAGCUCUCACGGUCCAUUUGUAGGAGAAUGCAGGGUAGUCAAGUUUCUGGGACUCCAGACACAUCCAAAUGAGGUGCUGCAUGUAGCAGUUUGCCUUUCUUA